UGUGCGUUGGUGUGCUGGGCACGCAC
RNAcentral lists this non-coding RNA (26 nucleotides) under Rattus norvegicus (Norway rat). The record is from RNAcentral. Lineage: Eukaryota; Metazoa; Chordata; Mammalia; Rodentia; Muridae.